GACGAACGCUGGCGGCGUGCUUAACACAUGCAAGUCGAACGGAAAGGCCCUGCUUUUGUGGGGUGCUCGAGUGGCGAACGGGUGCGUAACACGUGAGUAACCUGCCCUUGACUUUGGGAUAACUUCAGGAAACUGGGGCUAAUACCGGACAGGAGCUCCUGCUGCAUGGUGGGCGUUGGAAAGUUUCGGCGGUUGGGGAUGGACUCGCGGCUUAUCAGCUUGUUGGUUGGGUAGUGGCUGACCCAGGGUUUGAAGGGUAGCCGGCACGUGAGGGGGACCGGCCACAUGGGGACUGAGAUAGGGACCAGACGCGAAUGGGGGGCAGUAGGGGGGAAUAUGGCACAGUGGGAGGGAGCGUGAGGCAGAAACGCCGGGGGCGGGAUGACGGCCUGCGGGGUGUAAACCGCUUUCGCCUGUGACGAAGCGUGAGUGACGGUAAUGGGUAAAGAAGCACCGGCUAACUACGUG
This 468-nucleotide ribosomal RNA is filed under the name uncultured bacterium. Its description in RNAcentral is "partial 16S ribosomal RNA". It matches the Rfam family "Bacterial small subunit ribosomal RNA", at positions 28 to 507 of the family's 1533-position model. The record is from RNAcentral.